This 260-nucleotide ribosomal RNA is filed under the name uncultured Glomus. RNAcentral's name for it is "partial 18S ribosomal RNA". It matches the Rfam family "Eukaryotic small subunit ribosomal RNA", at positions 624 to 886 of the family's 1831-position model. The record is from RNAcentral. Lineage: Eukaryota; Fungi; Glomeromycota; Glomeromycetes; Glomerales; Glomeraceae.
AAGCUCGUAGUUGAAUUUCGGGGUCAGCAGGUUGGUCGUGCCAAUGGUAUGAACUGGCCUUGCUGAUUCCUACCCUCUUGAUGAGCCGUAAUGCCAUUAAUUUGGUGUUGCGGGGAAUCAGGACUGUUACUUUGAAAAAAUUAGAGUGUUUAAAGCAGGCAAGCGCUUGAAUACAUUAGCAUGGAAUAAUGAAAUAGGACGUUUGAUCCUAUUUUAGUUGGUUUCUAGGAUUGACGUAAUGAUUAAUAGGGAUAGUUGGG